CAAGAAAUGUGAAAUAAUACAUCCAGUGAUACCUGUCAAUGGUCUUUUCCUGUCUUUGGUGAGAAACAAACACAUCAUGUCUACAGGACAUCAACCAAAGAAUAGUUUGAAGCCUAUUUCCAGGAAGAGAAACACUGGAGGUGAGCUAUAGCAAUAAAGUGCCCAUGCUGAGGAACAGCAAAAUGAACUGAACAUAUAAAACAAGUUGUAAGGACAGGCCAAACGUCAGGUCUGUAUCUGAGAAUAGAGUUAAUAAUGGAAUGCGGACUCAGGACCCUUUGAGGUAUUUGCCAACUCUUGUAUAUAUGCGGUAUAAAUAUUACUUAUUCUGGAAGUUCUGACAGAUAAAUAUUUCUAUGGGUUGGAGUAAUCAGAGAUGGGUUAAAGAUUUAAUUGCUCCUACAAGACAUAUAUGGGGGACAGUAUAUUGAUAAUCUAUGUUAAAAUUUCAUGCAGAAUCUAAUUAAUACUGUAGGAGUUUGUGGGCAUAUGAGGAUUUAACAUUCUCAUUAUUUGUGAAUAACCCUGAAAGCUCAUAAUGAGUUGUGGUAAUGUGUGCAUCACAAAUUUGAAUCUCAUACCCUGUACCCAUGCCAUGGCAUUGGGAGGGAAAUUUAGCAGCUAUAUUCAAAGAGACAUUGUUUUCUACACGUUUUCAUAUAUGCAAUGAUAUAUGUAAUGAUUGGCCUACUUAAAUUCCUAGCCACAUUUUCCUGAAUUUUCACAAAGUGUUUGCUCUUACAGAAUUUGUGAAUUAGGGGAACAACAAAAGACUCAGUAUCUUGUUUGGAAGUAUCAAAUGCCUGUUAUUUCUUGAAAAUCUAAAGUGGAUUUCUGUGACAGAAGGGGAUAAAACUUAUGUUUUGCAAAGAAUAUAUUCAAAAUUCACCUCUAGUUUUGUUAUUUAUGGGAUUUCAAAUGGACACCAAAGUGGAAAGCUUAUAUAUGGGCCUAUGUGUGUGCGUAUUUGUGUGUAUGUA
Herpailurus yagouaroundi (jaguarundi) is the source of this 980-nucleotide long non-coding RNA. RefSeq lists it as uncharacterized. The record is from RefSeq and is a predicted model, not a curated record. Lineage: Eukaryota; Metazoa; Chordata; Mammalia; Carnivora; Felidae. The transcript has 3 exons.